GUUUGAUAAGCUGACAUGGGAC
This 22-nucleotide microRNA is filed under the name Alligator mississippiensis (American alligator). RNAcentral describes it as "ami-miR-599-5p". Its record names the gene ami-miR-599-5p. The record is from miRBase by way of RNAcentral. Lineage: Eukaryota; Metazoa; Chordata; Crocodylia; Alligatoridae.